Molecule: ribosomal RNA, 642 nt
Filed under: uncultured bacterium
Lineage: Bacteria
Description: bacterial SSU rRNA
Rfam family: Bacterial small subunit ribosomal RNA
Source: RNAcentral
CAAAGGGAUUACCGGUGGCGGAUGGGCAUGCGGCGCAUUAGCUAGUCGGCGGGGUAACGGCCCACCGAGGCGACGAUGCGUAGGGGUUCUGAGAGGAAGGUCCCCCACACUGGUACUGAGACACGGACCAGACUCCUACGGGAGGCAGCAGUGAGGAAUAUUGGUCAAUGGGCGCGAGCCUGAACCAGCCAAGUCGCGUGAGGGAUGACGGUCCUACGGAUUGUAAACCUCUUUUGCCGGGGAGCAAGCGUGCGUUCGUGAACGCGCGUCGAGAGUACCCGGAGAAAAAGCAUCGGCUAACUCCGUGCCAGCAGCCGCGGUAAUACGGAGGAUGCGAGCGUUAUCCGGAUUUAUUGGGUUUAAGGGGUGCGUAGGCGGGAUGCCAAGUCAGCGGUAAAAAUGCGGUGCUCAACGCCGUCGAGCCGUUGAAACUGGCGUUCUUGAGUGGGCGAGAAGUAUGCGGAAUGCGUGGUGUAGCGGUGAAAUGCAUAGAUAUCACGCAGAACUCCGAUUGCGAAGGCAGCAUACCGGCGCCCUACUGACGCUGAGGCACGAAAGCGUGGGUAUCGAACAGGAUUAGAUACCCUGGUAGUCCACGCAGUAAACGAUGAAUGCUAACUGUCCGGCUCGAAUGAGCGCUGG